CAGCACCAACAACACCAACAGCACCAACAGCACCAACAGCACCAACAACACCAACAACACCACCACCACCAACACUACCAACAACAACAACAACAACAAUUCUGGCGGCUCAUCUUCUACAGGCAACAAUGCACUGCAGUCCACCUCAGCUAAAGCUCCUCUUGUCCUGCUUGGUGCCAUUGUGGUUGUUCUGUUGUCAGAUGACCUUUGGCCUGUUAAGCUGAUGGAGGAUGUGUACUGAUGUAAGCGUUCACUUUAAUUAAAAACUUGUUUUGGGUAGGUGACGGCAACCUUAGGCAAUGUGCACUGCAGCACUGAAGCAAUAUCCAUCCAAUAUGGUAUCACUUUCAGGACUUUAUACAUACCUGCUGUUAUUGUAACUUCAUUAAAAUUUUGAACUGAGUAUGUUUAUAUUUAAAAAAUGUUUAGCAGUAAACUAUAUCCACCUCCAAGUGCUAAUA
Molecule: long non-coding RNA, 461 nt
Organism: Colossoma macropomum (tambaqui)
Lineage: Eukaryota; Metazoa; Chordata; Actinopteri; Characiformes; Serrasalmidae
Exons: 2
Source: RefSeq, a predicted model, not a curated record